RNAcentral lists this small RNA (68 nucleotides) under Geomicrobium sp. JCM 19039. Its description in RNAcentral is "Bacillaceae-1 RNA". It matches the Rfam family "Bacillaceae-1 RNA". Lineage: Bacteria; Bacillati; Bacillota; Bacilli; Caryophanales. The record is from Rfam by way of RNAcentral.
GUAAGCGAAUCUUCUACUAAGAUCGCACACCUCCUGUGUGCAACGUAGAAGCCACCGCAUCCUGCGGA